This is a long non-coding RNA of Prunus persica (peach), 375 nucleotides long. RefSeq lists it as uncharacterized. The transcript has 2 exons. The record is from RefSeq and is a predicted model, not a curated record. Lineage: Eukaryota; Viridiplantae; Streptophyta; Magnoliopsida; Rosales; Rosaceae.
ACUACCACCAAACCUUAGUGUCGCAUUAUUGGUUUCGAAGAUGCCGUAUUUGCCUAUUGUUAGAUGCUUUCAUCUUCAUCCUCUUGUAGACUUGGACCCACAUCAUCAUCAUAUUUGACAUUUACAGAAUCUUAACGGAUAAGAAUGAUAUUCGGCUUGGCUUAAUAAGAAUACUUCUUGUGGUUUCACUGGGAUUAUAUACAUUUUCACAUAGAGACAGAGAAGAGAGAGAAGAGAGAGAGAUGCUGGUGUCCCUUGGCAUCCUCCAAAAGCCAUAUUAAGGUAUUAAGUAUAUAAAUGCAAGGGACUUGUUAAUGAAUAUGGAUAAGGAAGAGGGAUAAGGGGAGAAUAUAUAGGAGGAAGAAGAAAAAGACA